This 468-nucleotide ribosomal RNA is filed under the name uncultured bacterium. RNAcentral describes it as "partial 16S ribosomal RNA". It matches the Rfam family "Bacterial small subunit ribosomal RNA", at positions 28 to 507 of the family's 1533-position model. The record is from RNAcentral.
GACGAACGCUGGCGGCGUGCUUAACACAUGCAAGUCGAGCGGAAAGGCCCUGCUUUUGUGGGGUGCUCGAGUGGCGAACGGGUGAGUAACACGGGAGUAACCUGCCCUUGACUUUGGGAUAACUUCAGGAAACUGGGGCUAAUACCGGAUAGGAGCUCCUGCUGCAUGGUGGGGGUUGGAAAGUUUCGGCGGUGGGGGAUGGACUCGCGGCUUAUCAGCUUGUUGGUGGGGUAGUGGCUUACCAAGGCUUUGACGGGUAGCCGGCCUGAGAGGGUGACCGGCCACAUUGGGUCUGAGAUACGGCCCAGACUCCUACUGGAGGCAGCAGUGGGGAAUAUUGCACAAUGGGCGGAAGCCUGAUGCAGCAACGCCGCGUGCGGGAUGACGGCCUUCGGGUUGUAAACCGCUUUCGCCUGUGACGAAGCGUGAGUGACGGUAAUGGGUAAAGAAGCACCGGCUAACUACGUG